Molecule: ribosomal RNA, 429 nt
Filed under: Bacteroidota bacterium
Lineage: Bacteria; Pseudomonadati; Bacteroidota
Description: Bacteroidetes bacterium partial 16S ribosomal RNA
Rfam family: Bacterial small subunit ribosomal RNA
Source: RNAcentral
UAGGGAAUCUUCGGCAAUGGGGGGAACCCUGACCGAGCAACGCCGCGUGAGUGAAGAAGGUUUUCGGAUCGUAAAGCUCUGUUGUUAAGGAAGAACGAGUGUGAGAAUGGAAAGUUCAUACUGUGACGGUAUCUAACCAGAAAGCCACGGCUAACUACGUGCCAGCAGCCGCGGUAAUACGUAGGUGGCAAGCGUUGUCCGGAUUUAUUGGGCGUAAAGCGAGCGCAGGCGGUUAGAUAAGUCUGAAGUUAAAGGCAGUGGCUCAACCAUUGUAGGCUUUGGAAACUGUUUAACUUGAGUGCAGAAGAGGAGAGUGGAAUUCCAUGUGUAGCGGUGAAAUGCGUAGAUAUAUGGAGGAACACCAGUGGCGAAGGCGACUCUCUGGUCUGUAACUGACGCUGAGGUUCGAAAGCGUGGGUAGCAAACAGG